Molecule: long non-coding RNA, 5126 nt
Organism: Felis catus (domestic cat)
Lineage: Eukaryota; Metazoa; Chordata; Mammalia; Carnivora; Felidae
Exons: 3
Source: RefSeq, a predicted model, not a curated record
GGGCUGCGGCGCACAGGGACAGGCGGGCCCGUCAGCCGGUGGGGAGGCCGGGGCCCCCUCACCCCGCAGAGCCGCCGCCUGUGCCCAGGGAGCCGAUGGGGCGCCCGGGCCCCCCGCCGGCCCAGCGGUCCCGGCCCUGUGGCUGGGCCACCCGCUCACGUCUGCCAGCUUUCUUUGUGUAAAUGGAGAGACUUCCUGCUAUUCAAUUCCAGAAGGACACGCUCGCCUGGCCUGCUUCCUGCUUCCCGUGAGGGAAUGUGGGCUGCACACGGGGCACCUCCAUCAGCCAGUCCCGGGCCGGCCUCCACGCCCGGACUGCCGGAGGAAGGGAAGGCCGGCAGAGGCUGGGGGCUCCACGUCCCCUUGGGUUUGGCUGCCCGUCUGGCUUCCCUGGCUGGGGACACGGGGCCGGGCCACUGAGGCUCCCAGGGAAGGCAGGGACCUCCCCACUGAACCCUGGCCAAGAUUCUCAGAGGAGGAAGAGCCAUGGGUGCCUGCCUCUGCCUGAGUCACGGAAGAUGAGGAUCUGGGGGAGCCUGGGUGGGGAAACCGUCCCCUCCCCCCCGCCUUGGCCUAGAACCCCCCAGUAAAGAUCCUGUAAGAGCCACUGCUCCCCACCCAGCCCACGGGCUUCCUCCUGGUCCCGGCCACUCUGGGGAAAAUCCCCUCCCGGGCAGCCAUGGGUGAGUCAGAGGUCAUGGAGGCCGAGGCAGGCGGAGCCAGGGAGUGGGGCGCAAGGUGCCUGCUUUGUGCUUAGAGAAGGCCUAGCGUAGCGCCUGGCACACAGCGCAUUCGAGUAAUCAAAAAAACACUGUUUCCCUUGGUAUUAAAUAGGAAACGAAGGCCUAGCAGCCCAGCAUGAGAAGACUUGGGUCCUGGAGGCUGGGAGGACAGGAGAACCAGCUGGAGUCCGUGGGGCCACCACACGGGCGAGAAUCCCGAGAAUCCACAAGGGGAAGCAGAGAGCGAGGCUCUGCAGAGGUGAGCGGCAGGAGGGCCCGAGCCACCCCCUCGGCCAGGGCAGCUCCUCGCUUCCGACAGGCCCAGAGCCCAGCGACACGGUCCAGUGGCCAGGCAGGCAGGGGACAGCCACUGUGACCCUGGCCACACAGCCUGGGCACUGACAGCCAGCCUCGACUCCACCCCAGCCCCUUCCUCGCUCCGCAGAGCCAGCGGCAGGAGGUUCUCUGGCUCUCCCUGUCAGCACAGCCCUAGCAGGCCCGUUAUCAUCCCCCAGCUCCGGCCGUCCUCCUUCCAGCCACCUGCUCGGGGGUCCCGCCUCCACCCACCAGCCCACCCUCCGAUCCUCUACUCAAUAGCAGACAACUUUAAAAACGGAAACGUGAUCUGUGACCCACACGCCUGAACCUUCUGUGGCUCCCGUGGCCUUCAAGACGGAGCUGAAUGCGCUUCGCCCCAGCUCACGGGCUCUGCACCCUCCGGCCCCGCUGCUCCUUCCUCCUCCACGAAGUCCUGCCACGGGCGCUUAGGCCUCACGACGCCCAGACACACCGGCCCUCUGUCUCACCAACCCACCGUAGCCUGCAGACCGUAGCUCAGGGCGUGCCUGGAGGUGGAGCCUCCCCUUCAGCUACCCCUGGGACCUGGCCCUGGGGAAGGACGGCAUGGCCGGAGGCCGUGGGGAGAGAAGUGACCACGGCGCAGACCUACCAUGCUAUCCUCCUCGUCCCGCGGUGAGUAGGCGAGGGUGCUAGAAGAAGACGGUGUCCUGCGGUGCUGUUUGUACGUGCUGGUCCCAUCGGCUGCCAAGAAGAGAGGGUGGGGCUGCCACGAGUGUGAUCCGGAGGGGCAUGGCUGGCCCCCCGUGGCGGGAAGUGGGCUCCCUGGAGGGACGGGCCCGGUGGGGGCAGGGGCUGGGCCAGACAGGGGGCUAAUCCCCUCCGGGAAGUCUCCUUGCCCCCCACCCUCUCCCGUGUCCUCCUUCUUGAUCUGAGGGCCACUUGGCUGGGGCUGGGCUCGUGGGCAGCUGGGAGCCACCCUGCCCCUGUCAGGGGCCUGAGCCCCCAGCAAGCCCCGCACUGGCCCUGCAUCCUCAGCCCCCUCCAGGGCCAGGCAGGUGGGGAGGGCGGGCACAGCCUGGGGCCAGCCCGGCUCAGGUGGUCUCCAGGGCCUAUCCUCUGUGCCUGGAGCUCCGGAGCCCCCGACAGUCACACUCCCAAGGCAGGCUGAAGGUGGGGUGGAGGGAUCAUCUCUCUGACUCUACAAGGUGCCAGCGGUCUGACCCUGGGGCUGCCCUGUGCCCAGCUGAGGCAAGAGCCCAACAUCUGAGUGAUUAAUCUGGAGGUUGCCUGGCACGAGGUGGGAUGUCAUCUUACUUGGCCCUCGAGGUAACCCUACCAGUGGGCGGGUCCUCUGAUGUCCUCAGUGCCCAGAGGAGGAGACAGGGACAGAGGCCUGAGGCCCCCGGGCCGGUGUGUGGUGGGGACUGACAGGCAGCCCGCUGUUUGGGUCUGCUUGUCUCCCAGCUGUUCCCCUGGCCAGAACCUGGAACCACCCUCGGGCCUUCUCAGCCCACUCCAGGGAAGGCGUUGGUCAGGAGUCCAUGGGGAAGCCGGAAACCCUGGAGUGGCCACCACCGGCCUCAGGCCCACCCAAACCCAGACAUCACAACCAGCCCCAAAGGCAUGGUUUCAUGAGUCGGGCUUUAAGCAGCUCCCCUGUCACUGGGUCUCAGUUUCCCUAUCUGUGAGAGGGGUCAGGUGAGGUGACUGUUCAUACCCAGUCCUGACCCAUCCCUGCCACCGAUGGGGCUGCUGGGUAGGGCGAGAGGGAGACAGACUCCCAUCACUGUCUGCUCCAGGAGCGCGGGACUGCCGUGACGGGGGCCCCUGCAGCUUCUAAGAGCAAAUGAGGUGUUGAGGAACAGUGACCUGGGUGCUUGUAUUGGGGAGACGUUUAUUUAUUCUCAGGACAGAACAUCUAAGAAGGAAAAGGGGCACUUUUGGAGCAUCUGACUGAGCCACCCUGGGGCAGAGGGGCCAGCGUGAGCACGUGCGCACAGUGGUCCUGUGGCCUCACUGCUGAGUGCUUCGAGAGGGAACCCCGGAAAAGCAAUUAAAAAUCGGCUUCACCUACGAGGAGCAGAGUACCAAAAAGGCAAAGGAACAAAGUCCAUCCCUGAACCCCCAGCCCUGACAAGAGAGGCAACACACCCUCAUGACUCAGGGAAGGAGGUAGUGCCCCGGGCUGUUAGCCCCUCACAACCUCCUCGAACACACGGCCCCGGGCUGGAACCGGUCUGGAGAAAGGACACCGCGAGUACUUCUUACCACCCACACGUGUCCAGCGUGGCCCCCAGUCCCGACCUCCCGGAGGCUGCUAGGAGCCCAGGGCGGGGAUGAACCAGAGGACGCUAGGACGAGGGACAGGAAAGGACGUGCCCGCAGACCCCAGUGGGAGUAAGGGACGCCCAGAUUCUGCCCAGCCCGCCCUGGCCUGGGCUCACAGGCUGGCUCACCUUUUGUGAUGGUGGUGACGGCCGAAAAGGCAGGCCCGAAGGUCGUUUCCAUUCUGGUCUGGACAGAGAACAGAUGAGACUUGGCAUCGACCCCCAGCGAGGAUGUGUACACACACGUGGACGGGCACCGACGCGCCUUCAUAGCACCAUGGUCACGUGCGCGCGUGAGCUCACGCGGACACACGCGGCACAGGCCCUCCACGUAGGGAGGGGACUGCUCUGGAGGCUCUGCGGGGACCCCGGCACACGAGGUAGGACAGUCCCGGUCUGCAGGAUGGAAGGACGCUGGCCACACCCCAGACGACCUGUCGGUGAUGUACCUGGGGCCCAGCCUCUCAGAGGCUCAUCACACAGAUAAAGCCCCUUUGGGACAGGGGGAGGAGAUGAGAGUCCUGAUCCCAGACCUUGUGCGGGAUCACACAACUGUCGACUCAGGACUCACAGGCUGAGGUGGUGGGGAGAAGGCACAGUGGGUAUCAUCCUGGGCCUGCAAGAAUUACUCCCCCCACCCCACUCCACCCAAGACGAGGGGUCUGGCCAUUAGAGAGGAAAGGGGACCAGCCUGCAGCCACGAUCGUGGAUAGCCUGGGGAAGCCACCCCACUGCCAGGGCGACGCCCGCCUUCGCAGGGGCCCUCCUGGGGUCAGCGUCCACGGCAGCGUCUAUCUCCCCUCUGGAGUCAGCUGUAGCCUCGAGGCCCCAGCUUUAAGCCAGGCUCCCCGCGAGGAGGAGCACACGUGAGCUCUCUCCCCAGGAGACCCCUGGGAGGCCACAGCGCGGGCUCAUCACCUGCCGCUAGGCCGGGCCAGCAGAACGAGUGUCGGGAACUCCCGGGGAGGCCGGCACGUCCCGCUCUCGUGGGGCACAAGGGCACAUGCAGGCUGGGGCCCACCCUGUGCUGUGAAGGCCCCCCACGACUGAGGAGGGGGCUCCGGGUGGAGGGGCUGCUGAGCCAUCUGGCCGUGUCUGCCUCACGCACGCCACAGCCACUCGGUGGUCCUGCAACCCAACCUAGGGGUCUACGGGGAGGGGCUGGCUCCCGAGCCGUGUGUUCCCAACAGCUCCCCCAUCUUCUCUCCCACCUGCCCCUUUGAAUACCACCUGCAAUGCCACCGCCCCCCCGCCCCCAGUCUUCUAGACUCGGGCCUCGAUGCGGUGGCUGUCAGUCCCCACACUUGGCCCUGCCACAAGGCACUGCCACCGAUGCUCUCGGCGCCCUGGGGGUCCAGGUAGACCAGGGGAUGGGGGGAUCCCAAGAUGUUGGCCAAAGCCUCCCCCUCCUGCCCAUCACUCCCCCUGCUGUGACUCAAGAGACUUGGCGGUUAAGUCCCAGACCAGGCUCUCCGGUGGCUUGUCCUCAUGGGGGAGAGGCAGGGACUCCCGAGAGUGGGCAGUACCAGGCCCUUGGUGGAGGUGUGGCUGUGGUGGGUCCGGAAGCCCCACCUCCAGUGCCGCUGCUGGUCUCCACGCUAAGCAGGAAAUCCUGGGGCCACCCUGCUUGCAGCAAGGAUACCCCGGCUGGGGCGACAUAGGAGCUCCAGGACUCACCUUUUGGGAAACCCGAGGUCGGCUCCCACCUCGGCACCAUGGGGCGUGCCAGGAGGAGGCUGGGGGUGGGUCACGGGGAGGCGGCCGGCCCACACUGACC